GUGCUCUCUUCAUCAGCACAUAUGCUAAAAUUGGAAAGAUACAGAGAAGAUUAGCAUGGCCCCUGCUCAAGGAUGACAUGCAAAUUCAUGAAGCAUUCCAUAUUUCC
Molecule: small nuclear RNA, 107 nt
Filed under: Echinops telfairi (small Madagascar hedgehog)
Lineage: Eukaryota; Metazoa; Chordata; Mammalia; Afrosoricida; Tenrecidae
Source: RNAcentral